This 467-nucleotide ribosomal RNA is filed under the name uncultured Alphaproteobacteria bacterium. RNAcentral's name for it is "bacterial SSU rRNA". It matches the Rfam family "Bacterial small subunit ribosomal RNA", at positions 9 to 521 of the family's 1533-position model. The record is from RNAcentral. Lineage: Bacteria; Pseudomonadati; Pseudomonadota; Alphaproteobacteria.
GAGUUUGAUCUUGGCUCAGAGCGAACGCUGGCGGCAGGCUUAACACAUGCAAGUCGAGCGCCCCGCAAGGGGAGGCGGCAGACGGGUGAGUAACACGUGGGAACGUACCCUUCAGUUCGGAACAACCCAGGGAAACUUGGGCUAAUACCGGAUACGUCCGUAAGGAGAAAGAUUUAUCGCUGAAGGAUCGGCCCGCGUCUGAUUAGCUAGUUGGUGAGGUAAUGGCUCACCAAGGCUACGAUCAGUAGCUGGUCUGAGAGGAUGAUCAGCCACAUUGGGACUGAGACACGGCCCAAACUCCUACGGGAGGCAGCAGUGGGGAAUAUUGGACAAUGGGGGCGAACCCUGAUCCAGCCAUGCCGCGUGAGUGAUGAAGGCCCUAGGGUUGUAAAGCUCUUUUAGUCAGGGAAGAUAAUGACGGUACCUGCAGAAAAGACCCCGGCUAACUUCGUGCCAGCCGCCGCAGU